AGUGAACGUUGGCGGCGUGGAUUAGGCAUGCAAGUCGAGCGAGAACCGUAGCAAUACGGGGACAGCGGCGAAAGGGACAGUAAUGUGUAGGUACCUACCCCGAGGUCUGGGAUAGCUGCGGGAAACUGCAGGUAAUACCGGAUAAUGUCUUCGGACCAAAGGUGUGAUCCCACCUUGGGAGGGGCCUGCAUCCUAUUAGCUUGUUGGCGGGGUAACGGCCCACCAAGGCGACGAUGGGUAGCGGGUGUGAGAGCACGACCCGCGUCAUUGGGACUGAGACACUGCCCAGACACCUACGGGUGGCUGCAGUCGAGGAUCUUCGGCAAUGGGCGCAAGCCUGACCGAGCGACGCCGCGUGCGGGAUGAAGGCCUUCGGGUUGUAAACCGCUGUCGUAGAGGAGGAAAUGCAGGGGGGUUCUCCCUUCUGUUUGACCUAUUCUAGGAGGAAGGACGGGCUAAGUUCGUGCCAGCAGCCGCCGUAA
Molecule: ribosomal RNA, 482 nt
Filed under: uncultured bacterium
Lineage: Bacteria
Description: partial 16S ribosomal RNA
Rfam family: Bacterial small subunit ribosomal RNA
Source: RNAcentral